GGCCCGUUGGUCAAGUGGUUAAGACACCGCCCUUUCACGGCGGUAUCAUGGGUUCGAAUCCCGUACGGGUCACCA
RNAcentral lists this transfer RNA (75 nucleotides) under Firmicutes bacterium HGW-Firmicutes-16. RNAcentral describes it as "tRNA-Glu". It matches the Rfam family "tRNA". Rfam says of the family: Transfer RNA (tRNA) molecules are approximately 80 nucleotides in length. Their secondary structure includes four short double-helical elements and three loops (D, anti-codon, and T loops). Lineage: Bacteria; Bacillati; Bacillota. The record is from RNAcentral.